UAAAGGGAGAAAGAAAGUCCUGGUGGC
Molecule: non-coding RNA, 27 nt
Filed under: Homo sapiens (human)
Lineage: Eukaryota; Metazoa; Chordata; Mammalia; Primates; Hominidae
Source: RNAcentral